Molecule: long non-coding RNA, 12275 nt
Filed under: Lactuca sativa (garden lettuce)
Lineage: Eukaryota; Viridiplantae; Streptophyta; Magnoliopsida; Asterales; Asteraceae
Description: long non-coding RNA (LSAT_LNC008436)
Source: RNAcentral
GUUGUGGGUUUGGACCUCAUUAGGUCAUGUCCAUAGUGUUGGUUGUACGUUUGGACCUCAUUUGGUAAUGUCUAUAGUGUUGGUUGUGGGUUUGGACCUCAUUUGGUCAUGUACAUAGUGUUGGUUGUGGGUUUGGACCUCAUUAGGUCAUGUACGGGUGUUGGAUGAGUGUUUGGACCUCAUUAGGUCAUGUACGGGUGUUGGUUGUGGGUUUGGACCUCAUUAGGUCAUAUCCAUAGUGUUGGCUGUGGGUUUGGACCUCAUUUGGUAGUGUCCAUAGUGUUGGUUGUAGGUUUGGACCUCAUUUGGUCAUGUCCAUAGUGUUGGUUGUGGGUUUGGACCUCAUUUGGUCAUGUAUGGGUGUUGGCUGUGGGUUUGGACCUCAUUUGGUCAUGUUUGGGUGUUGGUUGUGGGUUUGGACCUUAUUAGGGCAUGUACAGGUGUUGGUUGUAGGUUUGUACCUCAUUUGGUCAUGUAUGGGUGUUGAUUGUGGGGUUGGACCUCAUUUGGUCGUGUCCAUAGUCUUGGUUGUGGUUUUGGACCUCAUUUGGUCAUGUUCAUAGUGUUGGAUGUGGGUUUGGACCUCAUUUGGUCAUGUAUGGGUGUUGGUUGUGGGUUUGGACCUCAUUAGGUCAUGUCCAUAGUGUUGCUUGUAGGUUUGGACCUCAUUUGUUCAUGUAUGGGUGUUGGUUGUGGGUUUGGACAUGAUUAGGUUAUGUCCAUAGUGUUGGUUAUGGGUUUGGACCUCAUUUGGUAAUGUCCAUAGUGUUGGUUGUGGGUUUGGACCUCAUUUGGUCAUGUCCAUAGUGUUGGUUGUGGGUUUGGACUUCAUUUGGUCAUGUAUGGGUGUUGGUUGUGGGUUUGGACCUCAUUUGGUCAUGUCCAUAGUGUUGGUUGUGGGUUUGGCCCUCAUUUGGUCAUGUAUGGGUGUUGGUAGUGGGUUUGGACCUCAUUAGGUCAUGUCCAUAGUGUUGGUUGUAUGUUUGGACCUCAUUUGGUAAUGUCCAUAGUGUUGGUUGUGGGUUUGGACCUCAUUUGGUCAUGUCCAUAGUGUUGGUUGUGGGUUUGGACCUCAUUAGGUCAUGUACGGGUGUUGGUUGUGGGUUUGGACCUCAUUAGGUCAUGUACGGGUGUUGGUUAUGGGUUUGGACCUCAUUAGGUCAUGUCUAUAGUGUUGGUUGUAGGUUUGGACCUCAUUUAGUAAUGUUCAUAGUGUUGGUUGUAGGUUUCGACCUCAUUUAGUCAUGUCCAUAGUGUUGGUUGUGGGUUUGGACCUCAUUUGGUCAUGUAUGGGUGUUGGUUGUGGGUUUGGACCUCAUUUGGUCAUGUUUGGGUGGUGGUUUUGCGUGUGCACCUCAUUUGGGCAUGUACGGGUGUUGGUUGUAGGUUUGUACCUCAUUUGGUCAUGUAUGGGUGUUGAUUGUGGGGUUGGACCUCAUUUGGUCAUGUUCAUAGUCUUGGUUGUGGGUUUGGACCUCAUUUGGUCAUGUUGAUAGUGUUGCAUGUGGGUGCGGACCUCAUUUGGUCAUGUAUGGGUGUUGGUUGUGGGUUUGGACCUCAUUAGGUCAUGUCCAUAGUGUUGGUUGUACGUUUGGAGCUCAUUUGGUAAUGUACAUAGUGUUGGUUAUGGGAUUGGACCGUAUUUGGUAAUGUCCAUAGUGUUGGUUGUGGGUUUGGACCUCAUUAAGUCAUGUACGAGCGUUGGUCGUGGGUUUGGACGUCAUUAGGUCAUGUACGGGUGUUGGUUGUAGGUUUGGACCUCAUUAGGUCAUCUAUAGGUGUUGAUUGGGGGGUUGGACCUCAUUUGGUCAUGUCUAUAGUCUUAGUUGUGGGUUUGGACCUCAUUUGGUCAUUUUCGUAGUGUUGGCUAUGGUUUUGGACCUCAUUUGGUCAUGUAUAGGUGUUGGUUGUGGGUUUGGACCUCAUUUGGUCAUGUCCAUAGUGUUGGUUGUGGGUUUGGACCUCAUUAGGUCAUGUACGGGUGUUAGUUGUGGGUUUGGACCCCGUUUUGUCAUGUCCGUAGUGUUAGUUGUGGGUUUAGACCUCAUUGGGUCAUGUAUGGGUGUUGGUUGUGGGUUUGGACCUCAUUUGGUCAUGUAUGGGUGUUGGUUGUGGGUUUGGACCUCAUUUGGUCAUGUCCAUAGUGUUGGUUGUGGGAUUGGACCUCAUUUGGUCAUGUAUCGGUGUUGAUUUUGGGUUUGGACCUCAUUAGGUCAUGUCUAUAGUGUUGGUUGUGGGUUUGGACCUCAUUUGGUAAUGUCCAUAGUGUUGGUUGUGGGUUUGGACCUCAUUUGGCCAUUUUCCAUAGUGUUGGUUGUGGGUUUGGACCUCAUGAGGUCAUGUACGGGUGUUGGUUGUGGUUUUGGACCUUAUUAGGACAUGUACUGGUGUUGGUUGUGGGUUUUGACCUCAUUAGGUCAUGUACAUAGUGUUGGUUGUGGGUUUGGACCUCAUUUGGUAAUGUCUGUAGUAUUGGUUGUGGGUUUGAUCCUCUUUUGGUCAUGUCCAUAGUGUUGGUUGUCGGUUAGGACCUCAUUUGGUCAUGUCCAUAGUGUUGGUUGUGGGUUUGGACCUCGUUUGCUCAUGUAUGGGUGUUGGUUGUGGGUUUAGACCUCAUUUGUGUUGGAAUAGUGUCUAAGGCUGCAACUAUAUUAGGCAAGUAUUUGACCCGGUUGUGCAUGGUCCUUUUGGGUUGCCUUCACCAUAGCAACUUGAUAGGAUGAUUUAUUAAGAGAGAGUAAAUAUUAUUAAUAUAUUAUGAGAAUAAUAUAAAGAAUAAUAUAUUGUUAUUUGAUUAAUAUAAGUCAUAGAAUUAAUUGGAAUUAAUUUGGUGACUUAAAGAGAUUAAUUAAAUAAGAGGGUAUAAACUGUCAAUUGUUUGAUAGUUAAACUUUAGACUGUAAAUCCAUAUAGAUAUGGAUUGGACGGAUUCUAGAAGCUAAAGGAUAGCUCAAAUCGUCCAUUGCUUAUCUAUGGAAUGGAUUUGGAUAGCCUUAAGAGAAGAUUAUCCAAUUAGGGUUUAGGUUGUAACCCUUAAGGAGUCUACAAGUAUAAAUAGACCCUAUGGCAUAAGGAAAUCGGCACUUCAUCUAAAGUAAGAGAACCCUGGCCGAUUUCCUCCCUUCUCUUCUCUCCCAAAUCAUCCUCCUUGCUAGUUGGUGUUUGUAACCCAUUAGAGGAGUGACAAUUGUGACUCUAGAAGCUCCAAGACAACAAGAUCAACAAGGAAUUCAAAGGUAUGAUUCUAGAUCUGUUUUAAUAUUGGUAUUGCACCUAAAUAGUCAUUAGAAGUCUUGGAUUCAAAGCACGUUUGAUUAGAAAGCCUAGAUCCAAGCAUUAGGGUCUUGCAUGCGCACAUAGGAAAGUUCUUAUGGCUAAAACCCAUCAGUGGUAUCAGAGCCUAGCUUGGUUUUCUGUAAAUUGUUGCUUGAUUAACUGAAACAAACCUGCAAAAUUCGAAUUUUUGGUUUCUGAGUCAUGGACUCGGCGAGUCUCAAAGUGGACUCGGCGAGUAGGCCUGACUCGGCGAGUCCAUUUGUGCACUCGGCGAGUCCAGGCGUCAGGAAUGGCCAGAUUCGGGAUUUCUUUGUGUUUAUCUUAUCUUAACUUACCAUAAACUAAUUAGAUCAACAUUAAUUCGUUUUUCUGAUAAAUAUAACUAUUAUCUUGAUCUAGUUAAAGGUAAUUAUCAACUAAUUAAAUAUUUAAUUUCCUUAUAUGAUAAUUAAUUAAUUAUUUUGAUUAUUUUGGUAAUUAUCUUUAAAAGAAAUCUUGAAUAAAUCAAAUAUAGAUAAUUAGGAUAUUAAUUGUUAAUUGGAAUUAUUUGUUAUUUGAUCCUCCAUGUUUUAAAUGUUUAAAACCUACCCUCAUGUUUUGAAAUUUACUUUUGUGAUUAAAAGUUUUAAUUUAGACAACUUAAAUUUCAAACCCUAGAUUUUAAAAGUUUUAAAAUACAACCCUAUACUAAUAUGAUAUUACUAGAAUAAUAUAUAUAUGUAUAACUAAAUGCUAGUCUUACCGUUAGUAGGCCUCAUUCACGAAGCCGAUCUAUAAGGUGGGUAUAAGGUUGCGGCCUAUAAAAUGGCGCUUAAUGGGUGUACACUCACACCCACCGCUUGCUUGAUUGGUGGAGGGUCGUUAGCCGAACGGGUAGGAUAGGGCAACCUCAUCCUCUCAUUAAAAGUAUAAUAAGAAAUAUAAAGUAACUACAUAUUUUUUUAAAAUUUCCCAAUCCUAGUUACUUUAGGAAAAGUGAAUUGAUGCAAUCCCAUGAAAUUACACUUUGCACCUUGCUAAGAUGUUAGUGGAGCGUGUGUGGUUUACCGGCACACUAAUUGGUUCUAAGCGAAGGUGGCAAAGGGUGAUUCAUUGUUUAUCAUAGUUCGAUGGAGCGUGUGUGGUUUACCGGCACAUCGAAUAGGUGAUCGUUACAAUGAAGGCACCAUGUGAAUUUGCAUGGUAAUUCACACCCGCUUUGUGAUCCUCGGCAUCCCAGUCACAAACAAGAGGGGCAUAUCGAGAUUUAAACAUGCCAUUGAAUAGUUUCAAUGAAUCUCAUCCGAACCUAGGAAUUCUCAAAAACACUUAGGACUAAUAGUUUAAGUUUUGUGAUGGAGAAUUAGUGAAUCGUCAUUCACUUACCUUCAAUUUAUUUGCAUGUUAGAUUACGGCAUCCCUUUUCUAGUAUGUAAAUGUUAUUGUUGGAUCCUAGCCCUAAUUUUCUUAUUGGGUGAUAAUUAGGGAUUCUUAUUCUAAUCUAUCUUUGUCCUUUUCUAAUUGUAGAUGUCGAACGCAAACAACGCUGCUGCUAGUUCUUUCACGUUGAUGAGCCUUUGCCAAAAGGUCACCUUCGAUGGAACGAACUUUAGCGAAUGGAUAAGAUACAUUCGCACCAUUGCUCGCUAUGAGGAUAAGGAGUAUGUCCUCGAUGAGAAGCUCGAGAAAAUCAACCCCGAAAUUGCUACUCCCGCCGAAAUCACCGCCUUUGAAACUCAUGAGCGAGAUGCAACGAAGGUACAUUGCAUCAUGAUCGCCACCAUGAACUCCGAAUUCCAAAAGUCCUACGAGGACAUGUACCCGUACGAGAUGCAUCAAGACUUAUUGGAGAGGUACCACCAAAACGCGAGACAAGAGAGGUACGAGAUUUUCACUAACAUGAUUUCCGCGAAGAUGGGUCAUGGAGAAUCUCUUACCGUGCACUUGCAAAAGAUGCAAAGGUAUGUUGACCGCCUUCGCAAGUUAAAUGUUGACUUCGGUGAAGACUUGGCGAUCGACAUGGUGCUUCACUCUUUGCCUCCGAUGUACAACCAAUUUAGGAUGACCUACCACAUGAACAAAGAAGAGGUCACCCUAAGCAAGCUCCAAGGUCUCUUGAGGGUUGCUGAGAGCAACUUCAAAGACAAGUCUGUUGCACCUACUCCCAAUCCGCCCGCUGCUCCUGUCUUGGCUAUUGGACAAGGGAAGGGAAAGAAGAGGAAAGCUUCAUCGAAGAACUAUCGCAAGGUGAAAGCCCGAGAUGGUGCCUCUUCUAGUGGGACCAAAGUUGAUCCCGCCAAGCCCUGCUCUAACCCGAAGGAGGCAGAGUGCCACCACUGCCACAAGAUAGGACAUUGGAAGAGAAGCUGCCCGGAUUACCUGCAAGCAAUCAAAGAAGGAAAGAUCAAGCCAUCUUUCGCAGGUAUAUAUACAAUCAAAUCUAACGAUUCUAAUCAUGCUAUUUCUUGGGUUCUUGAUACCGGUUGUGGUUAUCACAUUUGUUCUAAUGUGCAGGGACUAAGAAGAAGUAGGGAUGUGGAGCAAGGAAGGAUCAAUCUAAUCAUGGGGAACAGAAGAUCGUCGCCUGUGACCAAGAUUGGAGUGUAUUCCUUAGUGCUUAGGAAUAGUUUAGUUUUAGAUUUGAACAAUUGUUGCUAUUCGCCAGAAAUGGCAAGAAACAUCAUUUCAUUUCAUGGUUUAUAUAGACAAGGAUUUAGAUUUUCUUUUAAUAAUGAGAAUGGUUCUAUUUUGGCUUAUCUAAAUGGUGUCUUUUACUUUGAAGCUAUACCAUGUAAUGGAAUAUAUGAAACCGUUAUGAUUGUUGAUAACUUAGGAAAUGAUGUUUUGAAUAUUGAUUCUUCCACUAGUAUGGAUAAAGCAUCCUUGUGGCAUUGUCGUCUUGGACAUGUCAACAAGAAACGCAUAGCCCAACUCCAAAAGGAUGGAGUGUUGGAGUCAUUCGACCUUAGGGAAGAUGACACAUGCGAGUCUUGUUUGCUUGGAAAGAUGACUAAGUCACCCUUCACGAGUACAUGUGAAAGGGGCGAGGGUCUAUUGGACCUAAUACAUACCGAUGUAUGUGGACCGUUUAGAUCAACCACGAAGGAUGGGAACCGCUUCUAUGUGACUUUUACCGAUGACUAUAGUAGAUAUGGGUAUAUCUACUUAAUCAAGCAAAAGUCAGACACCUUUGAAAAGUUCAAAGAGUUCAAGAAUGAAGUGGAGAAUCAAUUGGGCAGGAAAAUCAAGAUGCUUCGAUCCGAUCGAGGAGGAGAGUACCUAAGUCUUGAAUUCCACGAUUAUCUCAAGGAGUGUGGAAUAGUUUCGCAAUUGACGCCUCCUAGGACACCGCAGUUGAAUGGUGUGGCAGAAAGGCGUAAUCGAACCUUAUUGGAUAUGGUUCGCUCUAUGAUGAGUCGUGCUUCACUACCUAUCUCUUUUUGGGGGUAUGCCUUAGAGACUGCCGCCCAUAUCCUUAACCGAGUCCCUACUAAGAAGGUUGCCAAAACACCUCACGAGAUGUGGACAGGGAAAGCUCCCUCGUUGGCACAUAUCAAGGUUUGGGGUUGCGAGGCUUUCGUAAGACGAGAUACUCACGACAAGCUUGAACCUCGAAGUGAGCGAUGUAUUUUCAUCGGCUACCCGCAGACAUCCUUUGGAUAUCUCUUCUAUAGACCGAAGGACAAUGUUGUCUUCGUUGCGAGGAGAGGAGUUUUCCGAGAGCGAGAACUCAUAAGCCAAGGAGACAGUGGGAGGCAAAUCGAGCUUGAAGAGAUUCAAGAGUCGAUAGAUGAAGGAACCUCUACCGCUGGCACUCAACCCGAGGAGGAAACUCCGGUUGAACCGAUUGACGAAUCCUUACCUCUUAGACGUUCCGAUAGAGUUAGAGUUCAUCCCCAGUUUUAUGGUUUUCAUAUUACUACCGAAGGGGACACGUAUAUUAGUGAUGGUACACUAAUAAAUCUUGAUGAACCUAAUAGCUAUAAGGAAGCCAUGGCAGGCCCGGAGUCUGCAAAAUGGAAAGAGGCAAUGGAUAGCGAGAUCCAAUCCAUGUAUGAUAACCAAGUUUGGAAUUUGGUUGAUUAUGUGCCCGGACGUAAGACCGUUGGGUGCAAAUGGAUCUUCAAGAAGAAGACCGACGUGGAUGGAAACGUACACACAUAUAAAGCGCGAUUGGUUGCGAAGGGCUUUACUCAAACUCCCGGAGUUGACUAUGAUGAGACCUUCUCACCAGUUGCGAAGAUUAAAUCUAUUAGAGUGAUGCUAGCAAUUGCCGCAUUUCAUGAUUAUGAGAUUUGGCAAAUGGAUGUCAAGACCGCUUUCCUUAACGGAAAGUUGGCUGAGGAUGUUUACAUGGCUCAGCCAGAGGGGUUUGUGGAUCCGAAGCAUCCGAAUAGAGUGUGUAAGCUUGAGAAGUCCAUUUAUGGACUUAAGCAAGCGUCUCGCAGAUGGAAUCUUUGCUUCGAUGAGAAAGUCAAAGAGUUUGGAUUUGUACGAAGCGAAGACGAAUCUUGUGUAUAUGUCAAAGCCAGUGGGAGUAUAGUAAGCUUCCUCGUUCUAUAUGUCGAUGACAUAUUACUCAUAGGAAACGACAUCCCGACUCUGCAGGAGGUUAAGUCCUGGCUCGGGAAGUGCUUCGCUAUGAAGGACCUCGGAGAGGCUUCUUACAUUUUGGGAAUAAGGAUAGUAAGAGAAAGAAGUAAGAGACUAAUUGGACUUAGUCAGAAUACUUACUUAGAGAAGGUACUAAAACGUUUUAGUAUGGAAAACUCAAAGAAGGGAGAACUACCGAUACAAAGUAAUGCCAAAUUGAGUAAGACUCAAAGUCCGAGUACCGAAGCUGAGAUAGCAGAAAUGAGCCGAGUACCAUACGCUUCCGCAGUUGGCUCAAUCAUGUACGCUAUGACUUGUACUCGCCCUGAUGUAGCCUUCGCUUUGAGCAUGGUUAGCAGAUAUCAAGGGAAUCCUGGCAGAGCACAUUGGAUUGCGGUGAAGAAUAUCCUUAAGUACCUUCGGAGGACGAAGGAAUGGUUCUUAGUCCUCGGAGGGAGUGAUGACUUGAAGGUGCGAGGGUAUAGUGACGCCAGUUUUCAGACCGACAGGGACAACUACCGUUCGCAGUCGGGCUGGGUCUUUACCCUAAAUGGAGGAGCAGUGACAUGGAAGAGUUCCAAGCAGGAAACCGUAGCUGAUUCAACGUGCGAAUCAGAGUACAUUGCAGCGAGCGAAGCGUCGAAGGAGGCAAUAUGGCUAAAGAACUUCAUCGGUGAUCUUGGAGUUGUACCUGCCAUAAAGGAGCCCAUGGAGAUUUUCUGUGAUAACGAAGGAGCGGUUGCCUUGACCAAGGAACCGAGGGAUCAUGGUAGAUCAAGACAUAUCGACAGAAAAUAUCACUUCAUUAGACAUCGUGUAGAAGAAGGACAACUCGUAGUGAAGAGGAUAUCAUCAGAAGAUAACCCAGCAGAUCCGCUUACGAAGGGACUGAGUAGGGUUAAGCACUUGCAGCAUGCUAGGAGUAUUGGGCUGAAGGAUGAUAUUAGCAUAGAUUAGAUAGUAUUAGAAACGUGUAAUAGAUAAAUGUAAUUAACAUUUGAUGAUUAAAUAAAGGAGUUUUAUUUAUGAGUAAUGUUACUAUCUUAUGUUAAUUGUUUAGCUAUUGUUUCACUUUGCAUGUUUUGACUUCCAGAAUAAUUGAGUUUAUUAGGAAUAAUCGAAUUGUUCAAAUUGUCCACAAUCGUUCAUAUGUUGGAAGUAGAUAUGAAUGAAGAUUGUCAUGAAUUGGUGUGUAGAUUGUCUAAAUGGUGUUAGACAUAGCAAAGGGUUGCUGCAACGUUCAUGAGUGCUUAUGAACUAGUUUUGAGCAUUGGAACAAACCCGCGCUUGCUGGAAUCACCUUAUGGAAUAUGAUAUAAAAGGGUGAUCGCAAGACGAUAAUAUCAUAUAGUCUUAAAACCUAGAUAUAUGGUUUGUUAUUUGUUAAUUGAUUGUACAUUGAUAAUGCGAAAACGCAUCAGUAACUUGGUGUUAUAAAACGUAUUGUUGUGUAUAGUUGGUUAAUGAAUAAGUAAAUGCAUAUAAGUCGAAGUUUAUCUGUAACUUUUAUCUAAGAAGGUAAAAGCGAUAUCUCGGCCGCUCGAUGAUUUGAUUUGACUUAUGUGCCGGGCCCGGUCAGAACUGAAUUGAUGUGUUCAAUUAAGUUCUAUGUCAAAUAAAUCAGAGAUCGAGAAACCUAAAUGCUUGACUAACCAUUCCAUAGGAUUGUCAGCAUGAUAUCUAACAGAGGACUGUACGAUCCCUUAUCUAAAGGACAAGAUUGAUUAGAUCAGAGUUUGACAGCGUCUUUGAGAGCUACGAUUGCAAACCGAAUUGUACUUGUGCAUAUAGUUACUAGACUUAUCCAAGUGGGAGACUGUUGGAAUAGUGUCUAAGGCUGCAACUAUAUUAGGCAAGUAUUUGACCCGGUUGUGCAUGGUCCUUUUGGGUUGCCUUCACCAUAGCAGCUUGAUAGGAUGAUUUAUUAAGAGAGAGUAAAUAUUAUUAAUAUAUUAUGAGAAUAAUAUAAAGAAUAAUAUAUUGUUAUUUGAUUAAUAUAAGUCAUAGAAUUAAUUGGAAUUAAUUUGGUGACUUAAAGAGAUUAAUUAAAUAAGAGGGUAUAAACUGUCAAUUGUUUGAUAGCUAAACUUUAGACUGUAAAUCCAUAUAGAUAUGGAUUAGACGGAUUCUAGAAGCUAAAGGAUAGCUCAAAUCGUCCAUUGCUUAUCUAAGGAAACGAUUAUGGAUAUCCUUAAGAGAAGAUUAUCCAAUUAGGGUUUAGGUUGUAACCCUUAAGGAGUGUACAAGUAUAAAUAGACCCUAUGGCAUAAGGACCUCAUUUGGUAAUGUCCAUAGUGUUGGUUGUGGGUUUCGACCUCGUUUGGUCAUGUCCAUAGUGUUGGCUAUGGGUUUGGACCUCAUUAGGUCAUGUAUGGGUGUUGGUUGUGGGUUUGGACCUCAUUUGGUCAUGUCCAUAGUGUUGGUUGUCGGUUUGGACCUCAUUUGGUUAUGAAUGGGUGUUGGUUGUUGGUUUGGACCUCAUUAGGUCGUAUCCAUAGUGUUGGUUGUACGUUUGGACCUCAUUUGGUAAUGUCCAUAGUGUUGGUUGUGGGUUUGGACCUCAUUUUGUCAUGUCCAUAGUGUUGGUUGUGGGUUUGGACCUUAUUAGGUCAUGUACGUGUGUUGGUUGUGGGUUUUGACCUCAUAAGGUCACGUACGGGUGUUGGUUGUGGCUUUAGACCUUAUUAGGUCAUGUCCAUGGUGUUGGUUGUGGGUUUGGACCUCAUUUGGUAAUGUCCAUAGUGUUGGUUGUAGGUUUGGACCUCAUGUGGUCAUGUCCAUAGUGUUGGUUGUGGGUUUGGACCUCAUUUGGUCAUGUAUGGGUGUUGGUUGUGGGUUUGGACCUCAUUAGGUCAUGUCCAUUGUGUUGGUUGUACGUUUGGACCUUAUUUAAUAAUGUCCAUAGUGUUGGUUGUGGGUUUGGACCUCAUUUGGUAAUGUCUAUAGUGUUGGUUGUUGGUUUGGACCUCAUUAGGUCAUGUACGGGUGUUGGUUGUGGGUUUGGACCUCAUUAGGUCAGGUACGGGUGUUGGUUGUGGGUUUGGACCUCAUUAGGUCAUGUAUAGGUGUUGAUUGUGGUGUUGGACCUAAUUCGGUCAUGUCUAUAGUCUUGGUUGUGGGUUUGGACCUCAUUUGGUCAUUUUCAUAGUGUUGGCUGUGGGUUUGGACCUCAUUUGGUCAUGUAUGGUUGUUGGUUGUGGGUAUGGACCUCAUUUGGUCAUGUCCAUAGUGUUGGUUGUGGGUUUGGACCUCAUUAGGUCAUGUAUGGGUGUUAGUUGUGGGUUUGGACCUCGUUUUGUCGUGUCCAUAGUAUUGGUUGUGGGUUUAGACCUCACUAGGUCAUGUAUGGGUGUUGGUUGUGGGUUUGGACCUCAUUUGGUCAUGUAUGGGUGUUGGUUGUUUGUUUGGACCUCAUUAGGUUAUGUCUAUAGUGUUGGUUGUGGGUUUGGACCUCAUUUGGUAAUGUCCAUAGUGUUGGUUGAGGGUGUGUACCUCAUUUGGCCGUUUGCCAUAGUGUUGGUUGUGGGUUUGGACCUCAUUAGGGCAUGUGCGGGUGUUGGUUGUAGGUUUUUACCUCAUUUGGUCAUGUAUGGGUGUUGAUUGUGGGGUUGGACCUCAUUUGGUCAUGUCCAUAGUCUUGGUUGUGGGUUUGGACCUCAUUCGGUCAUGUUCAUAGCGUUGGAUGUUGGUUUGGACCUCAUUUGGUCAUGUAUGGGUGUUGGUUGUGGGUUUAAACCUCAUUAGGUCAUGUACAUAGUGUUGGUUGUACGUUUGGACCUUAUUUGGUAAUGUCAAUAGUGUUGCUUGUGGGUUUGGACCUCAUUUGGUAAUGUCUAUAGUGUUGCUUGUGGGUUUGCACCUCAUUAGGUCAUGUACGGGUGUUGGUUGUGGGUUUGGACCUCAUUAGUUCAUGUGCGGGUGUUGGUUGUGGGUUUGGACCUCAUUAGGUCAUGUAUAGGUGUUGAUUGUGGGCUUGGACCUCAUUUGGUCAUGUCUAUAGUCUUGGUUGUGGGUUUGGCCCUCAUUUGAUCAUUUUCAUAGUGUUGGCUGUGGGUUUGGACCUCAUUUGGUCAUGUAUGGGUGUUGGUUGUGGGUAUGGACCUCAUUUGGUCAUGUCCAUAGUGUUGGUUGUGGGUUUGGACCUCAUUAGGUCAUGUACGGGUGUCAGUAUUGGGUUUGGACCUCGUUUUGUCAUGUCUAUAGUGUUAGUUGUGGGUUUAGACCUCAUUGGGUCAUGUAUGGGUGUUGGUUGUGGGUUUGGACCUCAUUAGGUCAUGUCCAUAGUGUUGGUUGUACGUUUGGACCUCAUUCGGUAAUGUGCAUACUGUUGGUUGUGGGUUUGGACCUCAUUUGGUCAUGUGCAUAGUGUUGGUUGUGGGUUUGGACCUCAUUUGGUCAUGUGCAUAGUGUUGGUUGUGGGUUUGGAC